CUGGUUGAUCCUGCCGGACCUGACUGCUAUCGGAUUGAUACUAAGCCAUGCGAGUUGAGAGGGGUAAGCCCUCGGCAUAUUGCUCAGUAACACGCGGAUAACCUGCCCUUGGGUCCGGGAUAACCCCGGGAAACUGGGACUAAUACCGGAUAGAUCAAGGAUACUGGAAUGUUCUCUGGUCCAAAACUCCGGUGCCCAAGGAUGGGUCUGCGGCCUAUCAGGUAGUAGUGGGUGUAACGUACCUACUAGCCUACGACGGGUAAGGGUUGUGAGAGCAAGAGCCCUGAGAUGGAUUCUGAGACAUGAAUCCAGGCCCUACGGGGUGCAGCAGGCGCGAAAACUUUACACUGCGGGAAACCGCGAUAAGGGGACCCCGAGUGCCAGUACCUAGUGCUGGCUGUCCCGCUGUCCAAACAACAGUGGUUAGCAAGGGCCGGGCAAGACCGGUGCCAGCCGCCGCGGUAACACCGGCGGCCCGAGUGGUAGCCGUUAUUAUUGGGUUUAAAGGGUCCGUAGCCGGCUUAUUAAGUCUCUUGGGAAAUCUGGCGGCUUAAUCGUCAGGCGUCCAAGAGAUACUGAUAGGCUUGGGACCGGGAGAGGUGGGAGGUACUCCAGGGGUAGGGGUGAAAUCUCGUAAUCCUUGGGGGACCACCGAUGGCGAAGGCAUCCCACCAGAACGGGUCCGACGGUGAGGGACGAAAGCUGGGGGCACGAACCGGAUUAGAUACCCGGGUAGUCCCAGCUGUAAACGAUGCUCGCUAGGUGUCAGGUGCGGUGCGACCGCAUCUGGUGCCGUAGUGAAAACUUGAAGCGAGUCACCUGGGAAGUACGGUCGCAAGGCUGAAACUUAAAGGAAUUGGCGGGGGAGCACUACAACGGGUGGAGCCUGCGGUUCAAUUGGAUUCAACGCCGGG
Molecule: ribosomal RNA, 914 nt
Filed under: uncultured archaeon
Lineage: Archaea
Description: bacterial SSU rRNA
Rfam family: Archaeal small subunit ribosomal RNA
Source: RNAcentral